RNAcentral lists this ribosomal RNA (497 nucleotides) under uncultured bacterium. RNAcentral describes it as "partial 16S ribosomal RNA". It matches the Rfam family "Bacterial small subunit ribosomal RNA", at positions 28 to 507 of the family's 1533-position model. The record is from RNAcentral.
GAUGAACGCUGGCGGCGUGCCUAAUACAUGCAAGUCGAACGAACAGAUGAGGAGCUUUCUCCUCUGACGUUAGCGGCGGACGGGUGCGUAACACGUGGAUAACCUACCUAUACGACUGGGAUAACUUCGGGAAACCGGAUCUAAUACCGGAUAAUAUAUUGAACCGCAUGGUGCAAUAGUUAAAUACGCUUUUGCUGUCGCUUAUAGAUUGAUCCGCGCUGCAUUCGCUAGUUGGUAAGGUAACGGCUUACCAACGCAACGAUGCGAAACCGACCUGAGCGGGUGAUUGGAUACCUGGGAAGUGAGACUGGGUAGCGACUCCGAGGCGAGGCAGCAGCCGGGACUCUUACGCAAUGGGCGAAAGCGUAACAGAGCAACGUCGGGUGAGUGCUGAAGGACUUAGGCCCCUAAAACUAUGUUAGCCGUGAAGAUGAAAUGCGUAAGUACCUAGGAACGUCUUGACGGUACCUAAACAGAAAGCUCCGGCUAACUCCGUG